AUGUACAACAUGAGCGUGGAGCGCAUUAGACGAGGAGAGGCAGGGACAGCUGCCUCCCUAACUGUUACCACAGUGCCGGGCCGUGUGCGUGGUGUAAAUGUGGUUAGUGUGUCUGCUCAGAACUUCUCUCUGCGUUGGGAGCAGUCAGAGGGGUGUGUGGACCAGUACCUCGUCAGCCUGCUUCCCAACCAAGGAACUGUCUCUGUCUACCGCACAGUCGACAGACUCGUACAGGCUGACGUAUCCAGUCUGAGUCCUCGAACAGUGUUUACGGUCAUGGUGACCGCCGCCUCCUCCUCCAACCUCAGCCCACCGGUCAGCCGUAUAAUCAACACCAACAAGACCGGUGAGAUGUGUUACAGCUGAAAUGAUAGUGGUCUGCUCUGAGGAAACAUUGGGUCUGUUCUGCUGCUGCCCUCUGCUGAUAAUGGCUGCUAAUGUUUAUUAUCUCCCACCCUGUGUGUGUGUGUGCGUUCAGUGUGUAGGUGUGUGUGUGUUUGUAGGUGUGUGUAGGUUUAUGUGCGUGCGGUGUGUAGGUGUGUGUGUGUUUGUAGGUAGGUGUGUGCACGUUUGUGUGUGUGUGUGUGUGGUAACACUAGCCUUGCUAAGUAGAAUGAAUGAUGCUGUAGUGAAUGUCAGUGAAAUGCCAUAGCUCUGAGCAUCUAUUCACCGGAAAAGAGCAAGCUGGUCACACACACCAAUAACCCCCCCCCCCCCCCCCCACACACACACACACACACACACACAUACAUACAGUGCCUUGCGAACGUAUUCGGCCCCCUUGAACUUUGCGACCUUUUGCCACAUUUCAGGCUUCAAACAUAAAGAUAUAAAACUGUAUUUUUUUGUGAAGAAUCAACAACAAGUGGGACACAAUCAUGAAGUGGAACGACAUUUCUUGGAUAUUUCAAACUUUUUUAACAAAUCAAAAACUGAAAAAUUGGGCGUGCAAAAUUAUUCAGCCCCCUUAAGUUAAUACUUUGUAGCGCCACCUUUUGCUGCGAUUACAGCUGUAAGUCGCUUGGGGUAUGUCUCUAUCAGUUUUGCACAUCGAGAGACUGAAUUUUUUUCCCAUUCCUCCUUGCAAAACAGCUCGAGCUCAGUGAGGUUGGAUGGAGAGCAUUUGUGAACAGCAGUUUUCAGUUCUUUCCACAGAUUCUCGAUUGGAUUCAGGUCUGGACUUUGACUUGGCCAUUCUAACACCUGGAUAUGUUUAUUUUUUAACCAUUCCAUUGUAGAUUUUGCUUUAUGUUUUGGAUCAUUGUCUUGUUGGAAGACAAAUCUCUGUCCCAGUCUUUUGCAGACUCCAUCAGGUUUUCUUCCAGAAUGGUCCUGUAUUUGGCUCCAUCCAUCUUCCCAUCAAUUUUAACCAUCUUCCCUGUCCCUGCUGAAGAAAAGCAGGCCCAAACCAUGAUGCUGCCACCACUAUGUUUGACAGUGGGGAUGGUGUGUUCAGGGUGAUGAGCUGUGUUGCUUUUACGCCAAACAUAACGUUUUGCAUUGUUGCCAAAAAGUUCAAUUUUGGUUUCAUCUGACCAGAGCACCUUCUUCCACAUGUUUGGUGUGUCUCCCAGGUGGCUUGUGGCAAACUUUAAACGACACUUUUUAUGGAUAUCUUUAAGAAAUGGCUUUCUUCUUGCCACUCUUCCAUAAAGGCCAGAUUUGUGCAAUAUACGACUGAUUGUUGUCCUAUGGACAGAGUCUCCCACCUCAGCUGUAGAUCUCUGCAGUUCAUCCAGAGUGAUCAUGGGCCUCUUGGCUGCAUCUCUGAUCAGUCUUCUCCUUGUAUGAGCUGAAAGUUUAGAGGGACGGCCAGGUCUUGGUAGAUUUGCAGUGGUCUGAUACUCCUUCCAUUUCAAUAUUAUCGCUUGUACAGUGUUCCUUGGGAUGUUUAAAGCUUGGGAAAUCUUUUUGUAUCCAAAUCCGGCUUUAAACUUCUUCACAACAGUAUCUCGGACCUGCCUGGUGUGUUCCUUGUUCUUCAUGAUGCUCUCUGCGCUUUUAACGGACCUCUGAGACUAUCACAGUGCAGGUGCAUUUAUACGGAGACUUGAUUACACACAGGUGGAUUGUAUUUAUCAUCAUUAGUCAUUUAGGUCAACAUUGGAUCAUUCAGAGAUUCUCACUGAACUUCUGGAGAGAGUUUGCUGCCCUGAAAGUAAAGGGGCUGAUUUUGCACGCCCAAUUUUUCAGUUUUUGAUUUGUUAAAAAAGUUUGAAAUAUCCAAUAAAUGGCGUUCCACUUCAUGAUUGUGUCCCACUUGUUGUUGAUUCUUCACAAAAAAAUACAGUUUUAUAUCUUUAUGUUUGAAGCCUGAAAUGUGGCAAAAGGUCGCAAAGUUCAAGUGGGCCGAAUACUUUCGCAAGGCACUGUACAUACAAACACCCAGCUGGUUGACCCAAUAGCAAACAACAACAGUAUCUUUCACAAUGUCUCUCACCAUCCUCCCAAUUUGUUGACAGGACUUCCUAGUUUUGGCAGUAUGUACUGAUAAGUAUGGAUUGGAUUCUUUCUAAUGUCACAUAUAUCAGAUU
Molecule: long non-coding RNA, 2534 nt
Filed under: Oncorhynchus kisutch (coho salmon)
Lineage: Eukaryota; Metazoa; Chordata; Actinopteri; Salmoniformes; Salmonidae
Description: lncRNA (ENSOKIG00005016429.1)
Source: RNAcentral